GCCUGGGUGGCUCAGUUGGUUCAGCAACUGACUUUGGCUCAGGUCAUGACCUCGCAGUCUGUGAGUUCAAACCCCACAUUGGGCA
RNAcentral lists this transfer RNA (85 nucleotides) under Felis catus (domestic cat). It matches the Rfam family "tRNA". From Rfam's summary of the family: Transfer RNA (tRNA) molecules are approximately 80 nucleotides in length. Lineage: Eukaryota; Metazoa; Chordata; Mammalia; Carnivora; Felidae. The record is from Rfam by way of RNAcentral.